This 67-nucleotide transfer RNA is filed under the name Dipodomys ordii (Ord's kangaroo rat). It matches the Rfam family "tRNA". From Rfam's summary of the family: Transfer RNA (tRNA) molecules are approximately 80 nucleotides in length. Their secondary structure includes four short double-helical elements and three loops (D, anti-codon, and T loops). Lineage: Eukaryota; Metazoa; Chordata; Mammalia; Rodentia; Heteromyidae. The record is from Rfam by way of RNAcentral.
GGUGGUAUACCUCAAUGGUAAAAUACUUGCCUAGCAAGAAUAAUGAGUUCAAAUCCCAGUACCACCA